Non-coding RNA from Rana temporaria (common frog), 1028 nucleotides. Lineage: Eukaryota; Metazoa; Chordata; Amphibia; Anura; Ranidae. The record is from the annotation of a RefSeq genome assembly.
CUAUAUAUCUCAUUGUACAGGAGACGUCUUCUAGUUUGGAUCUGACCCUCCAGAAACAUCAAGAUGAUUUCUCCCAGUUAUCUGCUGGCUGUCAUCUUCAUUUCUAUUCAGGGAUCCUGUGGAGAGAUUGUGAUGACUCAGACUCCGGAUUCUAGCUCUGUGUCCCCGGGACAGACAGUCACCAUCACAUGUACAUCCAGUGCUGCUAUUUAUGACGCUAUAGCCUGGUACCAACAGAAACCAGGAAAGUCUCCAACACUUCUCAUCUAUGAUGCAGCCACCCGACACACAGGAGUCCCAGGCCGGUUCUCUGGUAGUAGUGGUGGAUCUCCUUACACUCGUUACACUCUGACAAUUACUGGUGUGACUGAAGCUGAUGAUGGAAAAUAUUACUGUCAGCAGGGUCAGAGCUCCACGCGCACUUUUGGUGGUGGAACCACUGUAGAAAUGAAACGAGGAGAAAAUGUCAAACCUUCUGUAUUUAUCUACCCUCCUUCAUCGGAGCAGAUUAAGUUAGGGUCAGCAAGUUCUGUGUGCUUCGUUGACCAGUACUAUCCAGGGGAUGCCAAAGUGACAUGGAAAGCAGACAACACUGUCAUAACCAAUGGUGUUGAAACCAGUGACAAGAUGAAGGAUAAAGAUAACACUUACAGUUUGAGCAGUACACUUACUAUGCCCAGUGAUGAAUAUAAAAAAUAUAAUAUUUUCACUUGUGAGGUCACACAUGUAACAUUAACGCCAGCGCUGGCCACAAGUUUCAAGGCGUCGGAAUGUACUGUUUAGGGUCCAACAACAUCCCAAGGUCCCUCCAGUGAAAACUUAGGAGUGUUUUCUCCAUGUUUUUUGUAUUUAAAAUAUUGCAUAUAUUAUGUUGAUUUUUCACAUAAUACAAGUUUUUUUGCCUUGUGAUCAGAUAUGGCAAAUGCAAUGUUAUCUGUUAUUUUAAAGCUUCUUAUCAGUUCAAAGAAAAAAAAAGUAUGUAUGUUUUGCUUUUGUCAAAAAAAUAAAUAAAAAAUGAUUCUGCUUCA